This 322-nucleotide ribosomal RNA is filed under the name uncultured Eocercomonas. RNAcentral describes it as "SSU rRNA". The stretch from base 63 to 322 matches the Rfam family "Eukaryotic small subunit ribosomal RNA", at positions 694 to 955 of the family's 1831-position model. The record is from RNAcentral. Lineage: Eukaryota; Cercozoa; Cercomonadida; Cercomonadidae.
GAUUUCUGGUACAGCGCGCGCGGCCCGCCGGGGUUUCCUCGGUGUGUGUCGAUGUGCGCUUGCCAUCUUUCUGGGAUUGUAUUCUACCCUUCACUGGGCCGGAAUCAUUCUUCAGAUCUUUUACUUUGAAAAAAUUAGAGUGUUCAAAGCAGGCUUGCGCUAUGAAUACAUUAGCAUGGAAUAAUAAUUUAGGACUUCUGUCUUAUUUUAUUGGUUUCUAGGAUGGAAGUAAUGAUUGAUAGGGAUAGUUGGGGGUGCUAGUAUUCAGCGGCCAGAGGUGAAAUUCUUGGAUUCGCUGAAGACUAACUUAUGCGAAAGCAUU